AUGCUUGCCUUGGCAGCACAUAUACUAAAAAUGGAAUGAUACGAGAAGAUGAACAUGAUCCUUGCACAAGAAUGAUGCACUAAUUUGUGGAACAUUCCAUACUUUU
Molecule: small nuclear RNA, 106 nt
Organism: Heterocephalus glaber (naked mole-rat)
Lineage: Eukaryota; Metazoa; Chordata; Mammalia; Rodentia; Bathyergidae
Source: Ensembl